RNAcentral lists this ribosomal RNA (435 nucleotides) under uncultured bacterium. RNAcentral's name for it is "partial 16S ribosomal RNA". It matches the Rfam family "Bacterial small subunit ribosomal RNA", at positions 30 to 507 of the family's 1533-position model. The record is from RNAcentral.
CGACCGCUGGCGGCAGGCUUACCACAUGCAAGUCGAGCGGGCAUCCUUGUGGUGUCAGCGGCAGACGGGUGAGUAACGCGUGGGAACGUGCCCUUCGGUUCGGAAUAACUCAGGGAAACUUGAGCUAAUACCGGAUACGUGCGAGAGCAGAAAGGUUUAUCUGCCGAAGGAUCGGCCCGCGUCUGAUUAGCUAGUUGGUGAGGUUACGGCUCACCAAGGCGACGAUCAGUAGCUGGUCUGAGAGGAUGAUCAGCCACACUGGGACUGAGACACGGCCCAGACUCCUACGGGAGGCAGCAGUGGGGAAUAUUGGACAAUGGGGGCAACCCUGAUCCAGCCAUGCCGCGUGAGUGAUGACGGCCUUAGGGUUGUAAAGCUCUUUUCUCCGGGACGAUAAUGACGGUACCGGAGGAAUAAGCCCCGGCUAACUUCGUG